Molecule: transfer RNA, 71 nt
Filed under: Schistosoma mansoni
Lineage: Eukaryota; Metazoa; Platyhelminthes; Trematoda; Strigeidida; Schistosomatidae
Source: RNAcentral
ACUCAGUGGUCUAGUGGUUAAGUGCUCUGGCUCGAGACUGGUAGGUCCUGAGUUCGAAUCUCGCGGGUGCG